This is a non-coding RNA of Piptocephalis cylindrospora, 72 nucleotides long. Lineage: Eukaryota; Fungi; Zoopagomycota; Zoopagomycetes; Zoopagales; Piptocephalidaceae. The record is from the annotation of a GenBank genome assembly.
AGGGUAAUAGCUUAAUGGUAAAGCAUUCCGCUCAUAACGGUUCAAAUAGUGGUUCAACUCCUCUUUACCCUA